UAACUUACCUGGCAUAAGGAUACCGUGAACAAUUAGGCGGUUCCUCCACGUGAGGCUUGGCAUUGCACUUCGCUGGGCUGAAGCGUGCGAUCUCCCCAAACGUGGGAGACUCGGUGCGCAAUUUUUGGUAGGGGGGACUGCGUUCGCGCGUCCCCCAC
This is a small nuclear RNA of Gigantopelta aegis, 158 nucleotides long. RefSeq annotates it as U1 spliceosomal RNA. The transcript has a single exon. Lineage: Eukaryota; Metazoa; Mollusca; Gastropoda; Neomphalida; Peltospiridae. The record is from RefSeq and is a predicted model, not a curated record.